GACGUAGGGCGCGAGCGUUGUCCGGAUUUAUUGGGCGUAAAGAGCUCGUAGGCGGCUUGUCGCGUCGUCCGUGAAAACCUGCGGCUCAACUGCAGGCUGGCGGUCGAUACGGGCAGACUAGAGUUCGGUAGGGGAGUCUGGAAUUCCUGGUGUAGCGGUGAAAUGCGCAGAUAUCAGGAAGAACACCUAUGGCGAAGGCAGCACUCUGGGUCGGUACUGACGCUGAGACGCGAAAGCGUGGGGAGCGAACAGG
RNAcentral lists this ribosomal RNA (253 nucleotides) under uncultured bacterium. Its description in RNAcentral is "partial 16S ribosomal RNA". It matches the Rfam family "Bacterial small subunit ribosomal RNA", at positions 524 to 776 of the family's 1533-position model. The record is from RNAcentral.